This 467-nucleotide ribosomal RNA is filed under the name uncultured bacterium. RNAcentral's name for it is "partial 16S ribosomal RNA". It matches the Rfam family "Bacterial small subunit ribosomal RNA", at positions 28 to 506 of the family's 1533-position model. The record is from RNAcentral.
GACGAACGCUGGCGGCGUGCUUAACACAUGCAAGUCGAACGGAAAGGCCCUGCGUUUGUGGGGUGCUCGAGUGGCGAACGGGUGAGUAACACGUGUGUAACCUGCCCUUGACUUUGGGAUAACUUCAGGAAACUGGGGCUAAUACCGGAUAGGAGCUCCUGCUGCAUGGUGGGGGUUGGAAAGUUUCGGCGGUUGGGGAUGUACUCGCGGCUUAUCAGCUUGUUGGUGGGGUAGGGGCGUACCAAGGCUUGGACGGGUAGCCGGCCUGGGAGGGUGACAGGCAACAUAGGCAUAGGGAAACGGCCAAGAGGCAUACGGGAGCAAGGAGCGAGGACUAGUCCAAAAAGCGCGGAGGCAUGAUGGAGGAACGCCGCGUGGGGGAAGACGGCUUUCGGGUAGUAACCAGCUUUCGCGUGUGAAGAAGCGUGAGGACCGGAAAUGGGCAAAGAAGCACGGGUAAAUUCGGG